GCAAUACCUUUGCAUGAUGCUUGUGCAGGGGGUUUUGCUGAAAUAGUCCAACUUUUGUUGAACAGUGCUAAUAGUGCAGAGUGUGUCAAAAGGAUGCUAGAAACAGUUGAUGCUGAGGGUGAUACUCCUCUUCACCAUGCAGCGAGAGGUGAACAUGCAAAUGUCAUAAGAUUGCUGUUGGCUUCUGGUGCUCCUGUAACAAAACCAAAUGUAUAUGGAAAGAACCCAAGUGAGCUACCAGAUCCGGACACAGAAGCUAGUAGAAUUUUGGAAUCUGCAGCUAGUGCUGUUUCAUGCCAAUAGGCCGUGACCAAACAGUUUCUUGGAUAAAAGCGCAGGCUUGUGUUAUCGACGUUUGGAGACACUUUGUUUUCACCAGCUGGUGAUUUGGUUGGCAUCUCUAGUUAGACAUCAUUGUGGAAACAAAAUUGUUUUCCCAAGGACUCACUCAAAUGGAGAUAGAGAUUGAGGUAACCAGAUUUAAAGAUGUUAAAAUACUGUACUAUUAUUAUUUUUAUUAUUAUCUAGUUUUAGCCGAAGAAGAAAAACGGAGGUUGUUUAUUUCCACACGCUAUUAGCAUUAUUUGGUUCUUGAUAAUAGAUACUCCUCUAGUUUUGAUCUAAGCACAGCCCUGUGGCUGUGAUGGCGCUUGAAAGAAUGUUAACAGGAACAGUUAUUGCUUGCUGGUGGUCCUGGGUAUGAAGGUUUUGCUAGUUUAAACUCCACCACCUAUCUGGUUCAUA
RNAcentral lists this unclassified non-coding RNA (744 nucleotides) under Hevea brasiliensis (rubber tree). The record is from RNAcentral. Lineage: Eukaryota; Viridiplantae; Streptophyta; Magnoliopsida; Malpighiales; Euphorbiaceae.